GACGAACGCUGGCGACGUGCUUAACACAUGCAAGUCGAACGGAAAGGCCUCUUUCGGGGGGUACUCGAGUGGCGAACGGGUGAGUAACACGUGAGUAACCUGCCCUUGACUUUGGGAUAACUUCAGGAAACUGGGGCUAAUACCGGAUAGGAGCUCCUGCUGCAUGGUGGGGGUUGGAAAGUUUCGGCGGUUGGGGAUGGACUCGCGGCUUAUCAGCUUGUUGGUGGGGUAGUGGCUUACCAAGGCUUUGACGGGUAGCCGGCCUGAGAGGGUGACCGGCCACAUUGGGACUGAGAUACGGCCCAGACUCCUACGGGAGGCAGCAGUGGGGAAUAUUGCACAAUGGGUGGAAGCCUGAUGCAGCAACGCCGUGUGCGGGAUGACGGCCUUCGGGUUGUAAACCGCUUUCGCUCAUGACGAAGCUUUGUGUGACGGUAGUGGGUAAAGAAGCACCGGCUAACUACGUG
This 467-nucleotide ribosomal RNA is filed under the name uncultured bacterium. Its description in RNAcentral is "partial 16S ribosomal RNA". It matches the Rfam family "Bacterial small subunit ribosomal RNA", at positions 28 to 507 of the family's 1533-position model. The record is from RNAcentral.